UGGGGAAUCUUGGACAAUGGGGGCAACCCUGAUCCAGCCAUGCCGCGUGAGUGAUGAAGGCCUUAGGGUCGUAAAGCUCUUUCGCCUGUGAAGAUAAUGACGGUAGCAGGUAAAGAAACCCCGGCUAACUCCGUGCCAGCAGCCGCGGUAAUACGGAGGGGGUUAGCGUUGUUCGGAAUUACUGGGCGUAAAGCGCACGUAGGCGGACCAGAAAGUUGGGGGUGAAAUCCCGGGGGCUCAACCCCGGAACUGCCUCCAAAACUAUUGGUCUAGAGUUCGAGAGAGGUGAGUGGAAUUCCAAGUGUAGAGGUGAAAUUCGUAGAUAUUUGGAGGAACACCAGUGGCGAAGGCGGCUCACUGGCUCGAUACUGACGCUGAGGUGCGAAAAGUGUGGGGAGCAAACAGGAUUAGAUACCCUGGUAGUCCACACCGUAAAACGAUGAAUGCCAGUCGUCGGGUAGCAUGCUAUUCGGUGACACACCUAACGGAUUAAGCAUUCC
This 500-nucleotide ribosomal RNA is filed under the name uncultured bacterium. Its description in RNAcentral is "bacterial SSU rRNA". It matches the Rfam family "Bacterial small subunit ribosomal RNA", at positions 355 to 870 of the family's 1533-position model. The record is from RNAcentral.